AGAGCGGAAUGCAGCCAAGGAUGACUUGCCGGAGCGCCGCCGCCGGCCGGCCGACGAGCGCGCGUUGCGGGGAGAGUUUGCUUUGUUGAGUGGCUGUGGCUCUGUGUUUGGUGUUGAUCAUCCCGGCAAGUGUGUCCAUGGCUAUGUUUCGCUCUCC
RNAcentral lists this microRNA precursor (157 nucleotides) under Dichanthelium oligosanthes. Lineage: Eukaryota; Viridiplantae; Streptophyta; Magnoliopsida; Poales; Poaceae. The record is from RNAcentral.